GCACAAGCGGCGGAGCAUGCGGAUUAAUUCGAUGCAACGCAAGACCUUACCAAGGCUUGACAGUACACCGGUAACGCCCAGAGAUGGGUGCCCCUUUGUGGUCGGUGUACAGGUGGUGCAUGGUUGUCGUCAGCUCGUGUCGUGAGAUGUUGGGUUAAGUCCCGCAACGAGCGCAACCCUCGUCCUAUGUUGCCAGCGGGUCAUGCCGGGGACUCAUGGGAGACUGCCGGGGUCAACUCGGAGGAAGUGGGGAUGACGUCAAAUCAUCAUGCCCCUUAUGUCUUGGGCUUCACGCAUGCUACAAUGGCCGGUACAAAGGGCUGCGAUACCGCGAGGUGGAGCGAAUCCCAGAAAGCCGGUCUCAGUUCGGAUUGGGGUCUGCAACUCGACCCCAUGAAGUCGGAGUCGCUAGUAAUCGCAGAUCAGCAACGCUGCGGUGAAUACGUUCCCGGGCCUU
Molecule: ribosomal RNA, 457 nt
Filed under: uncultured Cellulomonas sp.
Lineage: Bacteria; Bacillati; Actinomycetota; Actinomycetes; Micrococcales; Cellulomonadaceae
Description: bacterial SSU rRNA
Rfam family: Bacterial small subunit ribosomal RNA
Source: RNAcentral